This 496-nucleotide ribosomal RNA is filed under the name uncultured bacterium. RNAcentral's name for it is "partial 16S ribosomal RNA". It matches the Rfam family "Bacterial small subunit ribosomal RNA", at positions 28 to 506 of the family's 1533-position model. The record is from RNAcentral.
GAUGAACGCUGGCGGCGUGCCUAAUACAUGCAAGUCGAGCGAACAGACGAGGAGCUUGCUCCUCUGACGUUAGCGGCGGACGGGUGAGUAACACGUGGAUAACCUACCUAUAAGACUGGGAUAACUUCGGGAAACCGGAGCUAAUACCGGAUAAUAUAUUGAACCGCAUGGUUCAAUAGUGAAAGACGGUUUUGCUGUCACUUAUAGAUGGAUCCGCGCCGCAUUAGCUAGUUGGUAAGGUAACGGCUUACCAAGGCAACGAUGCGUAGCCGACCUGAGAGGGUGAUCGGCCACACUGGAACUGAGACACGGUCCAGACUCCUACGGGAGGCAGCAGUAGGGAAUCUUCCGCAAUGGGCGAAAGCCUGACGGAGCAACGCCGCGUGAGUGAUGAAGGUCUUCGGAUCGUAAAACUCUGUUAUUAGGGAAGAACAAAUGUGUAAGUAACUAUGCACGUCUGGACGGUACCUAAUCAGAAAGCCACGGCUAACUACGU